ACCUGGCUAGCUCAUUCGGUAGAGCAUGAGACUCUUAAUUUAAGGGUCGUGGGCUCGAGUCCCACAUUUGGUG
RNAcentral lists this transfer RNA (73 nucleotides) under Daphnia magna. It matches the Rfam family "tRNA". From Rfam's summary of the family: Transfer RNA (tRNA) molecules are approximately 80 nucleotides in length. Their secondary structure includes four short double-helical elements and three loops (D, anti-codon, and T loops). Lineage: Eukaryota; Metazoa; Arthropoda; Branchiopoda; Diplostraca; Daphniidae. The record is from Rfam by way of RNAcentral.